Molecule: long non-coding RNA, 2665 nt
Organism: Prinia subflava (tawny-flanked prinia)
Lineage: Eukaryota; Metazoa; Chordata; Aves; Passeriformes; Cisticolidae
Exons: 3
Source: RefSeq, a predicted model, not a curated record
AAACAACAAAAAAGAAGAGUAUCAGCAUGCUGCCCGCUUCCGGCACCUUCCCACUCGUGGGAAUGUUCUAAUCUCUAGGCAGCACUGUAAUCCUGCUGAAUCCAGGGUUUUAAUGAGUCUCCUAUCAAAUCUACCGGAAGGAAAACCAAGGUAAUCUGGGCCACUCUCCCUGGAUUUACACCUAAGUCAAAGCAGCUUUUAACUACUCUGGAUUUAGUUUUGGCUGUAUCUCUGAACAAACAGGAUAUCAAGAUGAGCAACAACUCAAAUUGCAGUGCUCCAAUGUCUGGAAAUUAUAACUAUGCAGCAUCAGGAAGCAAAAACAACAACAGAAGAAGGCCAGACUUCUCUGAGCAGUUUGGGUGGCCAAGGAGAGCAGAGAUAUUUUUUGAAAGUCUUUGUUUCAGACAACUUCCAGCCACGGCUUGGUUUACAUUGUGCUGAAGUCUCUUAUGCCUGCCUGGAAUUCACAUGCAACUGAUACCAGUAAUUUACAAUAGCUCUUUGACAUAGUUUGAGAUGCAGUGUCAGCCCAUUAGCUGUCUGUAUGAAGCAACAGUAGCAAGAUGGCAGCCAGACAAGAACCAGAGUAAGAAAACCAUUUGAGUUGAAUCUUGGCUCCAACAAAGCACGAUUCUCAUCAACUUCAACAGGGCCAUAAUUUAACUGCAAGCCACUCUUGGAAGUGAGACAAGAGGGAGUAUGUGGUAAAGCGAACGUAGGAGGAGUGGAAUGUAGAGGGGAGAAGGAAGCAUCCACUCGAGGAUCUUCUAACAACUGCAUUGAUCAGAGGAUGCUUUCAGAGCUAUUGAAAAGUCACACAAGGUCUACUAAACCCACUUUUGUUGUUGAGAGCUCUCACAGGGUCUUUAUAAUUCAGUGCCAAUUAGGGCAAAAGAAAAUCCUGGACAUCAAAAAACCCCACUCUUCACAUUAGAUGAUGGCAAUUGUUUAGUUCCAAUCGUUUUCUUAACUAGUUCUCCAAGCCUUACUCUGCAGCUCUGGGAAAGCUGACUGAGUCAAGCCAUGCAGCACACAAAGGAAAAGUUGUGCAGUGCAGGAACUGAAGUGACCUACAGAUGGAUAAGUGACAGCAAAGCUGAAGCAGGAAUGCAGAUCAGGAACAUAUGCAAGAACAUGUCUGCACUUGGUCAAAUGCACUGCUGAGAAAUGAGGCAAGUUCGUCUGAAGACAAUUGUGCUUCCAGAACAUGAAAGCAAAGAAAGGGUUCAUUGUGUAGCUUUGGAAAUGCAGUUGUUUCAUGAAAAAAGAUGAGCUCUAAUAAUAGUAAAAGUGGCAGAGACCCAGUCUGAAAAAACUCUCAGAUCCCACUAUAAACAGGACUUUCAUUUUGAAUUCAGGCAUCUUCCAUUUUUAAUAGAAAUACAUUUUAAUACUGCUGCUGCAGCAUCUACUUUUUUCUCCUCCCUGUAACACUCUCUAUCCAAGCAAUCUCCCAGCCACUGCUCUGUGACUGGGGUAGAGUCUGAAAUCACAGGUACUGCAACGGUGCCAAAUGAGGCUGGUUGUGGCUAUCCCUGACAGGCCACAUGAUUCAUCUCAAGUGACAACUGCUUUUCUGGAACGAAGAAUUAAUAGGACAUCCCAUGCAUAUUUUAAAAAAAUAUAAGGAGCAGAUCUGCACAGAGAAGUUCCCAAGCUAUGCACUCUCAGCAAUUAAAACAUAAAAGCACAGUACUGUGCACACUUGUGCAAGGCCUUUCUUCAUUCCUGCCUGGCAUUCCAAAGCACACUUCGAGAGGCUGCCAUAAGAUUUCUCUAAGAUGGACCACAGUGCUGCUGCUUCCUUGCUGAAGGAAAAGGCCUGUUGUGUCAACAAAAGCUUUAUGAGUUCAGAUUCACACUCUCGCCUGUGGCUUUUACCACACACACUGUUAAGGCCCUAGGUUGAAACAGAGCUGAUUUUGCCCACCUCCUUCGGUAACAGUAGGCAAAAAGCAGAACAGCUCAUGUGCCAAGAGACCCUGAAAGGCUUCCUCUAGCCACAGGAAAAGCUUAGCAGAAUGCUUCUGAAACCAACCAGAGACAUUCCAGGAGCAAGAUCCCCACCCCUGACUUUCAGCCAGCUCUACCAGGUGGUGUCUGGUAAAUAUUUUUUCAGCCCCUCCGUAUAAACCCCCAGACAUCCAACUUCCAAGGAAGAGCUUGUAGUAACCCCUAUUUCUCAUCUACAGUCAUUAGAUGGAUAUUAAUGUCAAGUCUUGUGCAGAUUUUAAGGGUUUUUUUUCUUUUUUUAAGGCAGUACAUUCAGUUUUGAGAAGUAUUUCGUUUAUAGAGAGGUCGUUAGGGGAAUAAGACUUAGGCUUUUGAAUAUUACUCCUAAUUAAAAAGAACAAAACAAGACCAAAAAUCCCAACAAAGAAACCUGAAGAAAUCCCUUGGCUUUUACCCUCCCAAAGGAGAAAGAAGGCAUUAACAGCAUCUAUUUUUAGGCAUCAGACUGUUGGUGCCUAGGUGAGCAAGCUCCUCACCCUCUGCAGGCAAUGUGAGUGAGACAGGCUGCAGCAGAGCCUGCAGGAACUGCUCCAAAUUGUUUUGGGGAGAGCUUUUCCCUCUCCUCUUGCGCUAACUCACAGCAAGCUGGUGAGGCUCCCAGAGGCCUUUCAGUGCCUGGGACACAGAGGUGUCAGAACUAAAUAAGCCA